AAAAAAUUAGUUAAAUUAUAACAUUAGUAUGUCAAACUAAAAUUAUCAUAAAAAAUGGUAUUUUUUA
This 67-nucleotide transfer RNA is filed under the name Micromorphus albipes. RNAcentral describes it as "tRNA-Asp". The record is from RNAcentral. Lineage: Eukaryota; Metazoa; Arthropoda; Insecta; Diptera; Dolichopodidae.